GGGGAUUUAGCUCAGCGGCAUAAGCGCCUGCCUUGCAAGCAGGUAGUCGUGAAUUCGAGAUCCCCG
This is a transfer RNA of Cavia porcellus (domestic guinea pig), 66 nucleotides long. It matches the Rfam family "tRNA". Rfam says of the family: Transfer RNA (tRNA) molecules are approximately 80 nucleotides in length. Their secondary structure includes four short double-helical elements and three loops (D, anti-codon, and T loops). Lineage: Eukaryota; Metazoa; Chordata; Mammalia; Rodentia; Caviidae. The record is from Rfam.